UCUUCCGCAAUGGACGAAAGUCUGACGGAGCAACGCCGCGUGAGUGAUGAAGUCUUUCGGGUCGUAAAACUCUGUUGUUAGGGGAGAUCAAUUGCUAGUUGAAUAAGCUGGCACCUUGACGGUACCUAACCAGUAAGCCACGGCUAACUACGUUCCAGCAGCCGCGGUAAUACGUAGGUGGCAAGCGUUAUCCGGAAUUAUUGGGCGUAAAGCGCGCGCAGGUGGUUUCUUAAGUCUGAUGUGAAAGCCCACGGUUCAACCGUGGAGGGACAUUGGAAACUGGGAGACUUGAGUGCAGAAGAGGAAAGUGGAAUUCCAUGUGUAGCGGUGAAAUGCGUAGAGAUAUGGAGGAACACCAGUGGCGAAGGCGACUUUCUGGUCUGUAACUGACACUGAGGCGCGAAAGCGUGGGGAGCAAACAGG
RNAcentral lists this ribosomal RNA (423 nucleotides) under uncultured bacterium. Its description in RNAcentral is "bacterial SSU rRNA". It matches the Rfam family "Bacterial small subunit ribosomal RNA", at positions 362 to 776 of the family's 1533-position model. The record is from RNAcentral.